GGCGGCAUGCUUAACACAUGCAAGUCGCACGAAUUCUUUCGGGAGUUAGUGGCGGACGGGUGAGUAUCGCGUAGGGAUUUGUCGUUGGGUGGGGGAUAACCUUGGGAAACUGGGGCUAAUACCGCAUGACGCCUGUGGGCCAAAGCUUGUGAGAGCGCCUGACGAGGAGCCUGCGUCCGAUUAGUUAGUUGGUUGGGUAAUGGCUGACCAAGACGUCGAUCGGUAGCUGGUCUGAGAGGAUGAUCAGCCACACUGGGACUGAGACACGGCCCAGACUCCUACGGGAGGCAGCAGUGGGGAAUAUUGGACAAUGGGCGCAAGCCUGAUCCAGCAAUGCCGCGUGGAUGAAGAAGGUUUUCGGAUUGUAAAGUCCUUUCGGCGGGGACGAUGAUGACGGUACCCGCAGAAGAAGCCCCGGCUAACUUCGUGCCAGCAGCCGCGGUAAUACGAAGGGGGCUAGCGUUGCUCGGAAUGACUGGGCGUAAAGGGCGCGU
Molecule: ribosomal RNA, 494 nt
Filed under: uncultured Alphaproteobacteria bacterium
Lineage: Bacteria; Pseudomonadati; Pseudomonadota; Alphaproteobacteria
Description: bacterial SSU rRNA
Rfam family: Bacterial small subunit ribosomal RNA
Source: RNAcentral